This 424-nucleotide ribosomal RNA is filed under the name uncultured bacterium. RNAcentral's name for it is "partial 16S ribosomal RNA". It matches the Rfam family "Bacterial small subunit ribosomal RNA", at positions 359 to 776 of the family's 1533-position model. The record is from RNAcentral.
CAUAUUGGACAAUGGGCGAAAGCCUGAUCCAGCCAUUCCGCGUUUUUGUAGAAGGUCUUCGGACUGUAAAGCCCUUUAAGUUGGGAGGAAGGGGUUGAAGCUAAUACCUUCAAUCUUUUGCGUUACCACCAAGAUAAGCACCGGCUAACUCUGUUCCAGCAGCCGCGGUAAUACAGAGGGUGCAAGCGUUAAUCGGAAUUACUGGGCGUAAAGCGCGCGUAGGUGGUUCAGGAAGAUGGAAGUGAAAUCCCCGGGCUUAACCUGGGAACUGCUUUCAUAACUGCUGAGCUAGAGUACGGUAGAGGGUAGUGGAAUUUCCUGUGUAGCGGUGAAAUGCGUAGAUAUAGGAAGGAACAUCAGUGGCGAAGGCGACUACCUGGACUGAUACUGACACUGAGGUGCGAAAGCGUGGGGAGCAAACAGG